GACUCUCGGUAACGGAUAUCUCGGUUCUCGCUUCGAUGAAGAACGUAACGAAAUGCAAUACUUGGUGUGAAUUGGAAAUUCCCAUGAACCAUCAAGUCUUUGAACGCAAGUUGCGCCCGAAGCCGACAGGCCCAGGGCACGCCUGCCUGGGCGUGACGC
RNAcentral lists this ribosomal RNA (159 nucleotides) under Acacia gonocarpa. RNAcentral describes it as "5.8S ribosomal RNA". It matches the Rfam family "5.8S ribosomal RNA". Rfam says of the family: 5.8S ribosomal RNA (5.8S rRNA) is a component of the large subunit of the eukaryotic ribosome. Lineage: Eukaryota; Viridiplantae; Streptophyta; Magnoliopsida; Fabales; Fabaceae. The record is from RNAcentral.